UGCAUUUUCUAGACUUCGACAUGAAAGGGGGUUUGAGUUGUAAUUGAAACGCGAAAAUGGAACGUGACAUUAUUUGAUCAAAAUCCCGAAAUUCCUCGUAGUUGAAAUCGAAGCCAGUUUAUUGCGCAAAUACUAUUUUUUUAUGAAUGAUGCGCGCGUAGCGGCGACAUUGAGCGUUUCUAUUUAAACCCAAUUAUUUUAUUUCGAUUUAAAACAAAAAUUUCCAAUCGCGAAUUUUUAUUAGAAAUUUCGAUGGAAAAUUCAAAUCCAAGUGAUUUCUAUAAAAUGUCGACGUGAAAAAGUUGAGAAAAAUAUUCUUGGUUGGAAUAAUAAUAUGCGCGCGCAAGUCGAAAAGGCAAAACAUCCGAAUUCAACGGAAUUAGCAAAUUCUUGCAUAUUUUUUGAAAAAAACGUUCGCCGCGUUCGCUCUCAUCUUAUCGGGUGUGCCGGGUGUGCUGCGUGACGGGCGCCAAAGUGAUUACUGUGAUUAUUGCUAACCUGCUGAUUCAGCUUUGUUAACCUUUCAGUCAAUUCCGAGUAGUAUGAGCUCCAUGUCCAGCAUCAUCAAGGCAUUUCUGGUGGAUUUCUUUCUGACACAGAUGAAUGACAUAGAUGUGCCAUUCUGCUACACGUAGCAGAACCAAUAGAAUACAUAGAUGUGUGUGUUGAAUCUGGCAUUCUGCUGACCCGCCAUCAUCUCCCGCUUUCCAUCUUUUUAGUAAACAAUGCUAUUAUAAAUAUUUCAUCGCUUUUUUCCUCUUUUUUCGAAAUGGUGAAUUCAGCGGUAUUACGCAAGCGCGCUUUAUAGACGGAGUUGGGUGACACUCGACUGAAUUAUUCUUUUUCAACAGGCCCGCGAAUCGGAUCGAGUGUCAACGAGCUGAUUCGAUAGUAAAUCAAUUUUUCCCAUUCAAAAAUAAUUAAACAAUUUUUUGAUUUUGAUUUUCGGGUUUCUCAAUUUUAAAUUCACUGGCACUAUCGAUAAUUUCCAAUAGUUUGACGUUCUAGUUGAAUAGGUAUUUUCAUACAAUCCAGGACAAUAUUUUAAAAGAAAUUGUACAUUUGAUUUUUAAAUGAAAUAAAGCGAAGGGAAAAAGUGAAACGUCAGAAAAAUAAAAAUAAAAAUCAUGUGGAUGGUGGUGGGGUCCAUGGGAGCUAUAUCGCCUUGGUUACACGCAUUUUUCUUUGCACGACGCUAGUCGUCGCAGUGUUGAUGAGCCUGUUGCCUCCUCAAAAUAGGAACGUCUGUCGUAUAAAUAGCACAGCCCUAAAUGCGACGUAAAUAUAUGCAUAUAUUUAUUUAUAUAUCAGCAGCAAGAAAGGGCAAGCGAAAGCCCAGUUCAAACAAAGAACAUUAAUUGAUUAGGCUGUUGGUGAGCGCAGCGAUUGGAAUUUGUCAAAUCUCCUUUUUCGAAUCAGUUGGAGGAAUCGACUCCAUUCUGAUUGCGCUAUUAUUUUAGGCAUUCCGAAAUUAUUUUCGUCUUAUUUCACGGGAUAAUAACUCGGAUUAGAAAUCAUUUAAGUUUAAUUUCAAAUUUCGUGGAUGACGGUUUCGUAAUAAAAUAUUUAUAAUCAAUAAAUGCAAAUUCUUAACUCGCAAUAGACUCGCAUAAACAGAACAAAUUAUUUAUAACAAAUUUAAAUGGUUUAAAAUUACAGGGGAAUGAACAUGUCAAAUAUUUUUAUUUGUUACUUUAUUAAGUAAUUUACAGCGAAACAUAAAGUUUUAUCCGAUUUACUCAACAAAUAGACGUAAAAAUGUUUAAACUUUAAUCGACUUCAAGUUAAACACGGAAAAUAGGGCAGUUAUGUUUAAGUCGGAUUCAAACCGGCGCCUGAUUGCAUCCUCCCGUUUCUUUGAAAUAAUAACGCCGAUAGAGCAAGGGACCGGAAGUGGUAGGCCCUUUUUCCCUCAACACCAAAUGUUCUUCGAUGCUCAGCUGUAAAAGUUCAUGUGCCACACAAGAUAAAGUGGGUUCCGACGAAUAGGAAAAGGUGAACAGACGAUUAGAAACGUGUUCACGGAACCGGAUGGCACGCAAUAACCGGGAAUUAGGAAUAAAGAAGAACUUUAAUCUUUCUUGAUAGUUACUUUCCUCGGAAUUCUAGGCUACCAUAUUACCGCUUACAUAUCAAUGAUUCACUCUUGAUUUACCCCAAAUUAUCAUACAGGGAUUAUGGUACUGAUUUGAAUUACCCUAUCUUUAAAUCUUAGCUAAAAUUUUGAAUAAAAAAUCCCACCCCUGGGGUUAUUUUGAAUCUCAAGCCAAUUUUUGAAUCUUAAGUAGAAAUAUAAAAUGUUGAAUUUUAAGCCAAAAUUUUUAAUAAUAUUUCUAUUUUAUAUUUUUACAUUGCUUAUUCCCUCAGUAGAUGGCGAAUAAUUUCGUGAGUUACCUUGAAGUAUUUUUAUGUCACGCACGCACGUUAUUAUGCGCCAUCAAAAAAUGUUAUUUUUAUCCAGAAAAACAAUAUUUCUGCCAUCUAGCGGGAACAAAUGGACAUAACGAAAUUGACAGUUACCUGUGUUAGCAAAGUACCCGAAGCGCUAAAAUUUCUUGAAACAAACUAACAAUCAAAAUAGGAUGUGACGUUUAAUAACUUGCCAAUAACAAUAUCUGACUCGCUAACAACAAUAAUCCAACGAGCCUCUGUAGGCCUACUAGGCUACUAAUGUCAUUCGUAACCCGCAAGCCGCAACAGUCAUUUCAUUUUCGUGUUUACCGUUAUCUAACAAUUCCUCAAAUUUUUUAAAUUUUCGAUUAUUUUCUGUAGUUGAGCCAUCAGUGCGAAAUCAAUCAAAACUAUUUUUACUCACUGAGCUUCAUAAAAGGGCAACACUGCACUAGCUAGUUCUCACGAUCCGUCACGGUCACGGAAGUUCGUCUGCACUCCGCAAUGUAAAAGUUGUUAAGGCGGCAACAGGCAAGUGAGACAUGCCACAGGACAUAAGAUGGUUAGUUGGUUAUCAGCGGAUCGGUAAACUAAACUGUUGAGUGUUGCUAAGUUUCAAUCAUUGAGAUGUUUGAUUGUAGUGAGUAUUUUGCAAAUGAGUCCGUUCACGUAAAUGUUUGCAGUUGAUUCCCGAUUGUGCGUUACCCACGGGCUUCCAUGUUACCCUCUAACGUGGUGACCGGUGGUGACCAACAGCCCAUGUGCCCAGAUCACAUUGGUGCCACAAGUGAGACUCUGGAAUCUUCGGAUCACCAACGGCAUCGGCGCGAAUGCUGAUUCAUUGCAAAUCGCAUCUUUGACGAAAAACUAACAUUCGGGAAGAAAUUGUCUUCGUGAGAAAUCAGAAAAGAUGUCGAAAGCUCCUUCGUCAUAUUCAAGUAGACAAGCUUGAAGUUAAAAUAGAAUGCAAGUUACAACUACACCGACGUCGUAUAACCGGAUCUUUGCCAUCUCAAUCGGAAUGAUCAGAUUAUGCCCUCAUUUGUCAUGAGGAUGGAGCAGCCAGGAGUUUCGGGGCACCACCGGUCAUCACGGUCCUUUGUUGGGCCUUCGGAUAGAUAAGGUAUUAAACAAAUGGAGUUCACUUGCAGGUUAGAAUCCAUCCCCCCCCCCCCCUCUUUAGCUUUAAUUCUUGCUGUUACUUCAUUUGCAUCCCCAUUUUUUGCCCCUUUUCGCAGUGAAUUAUCUUUGUGUUUUUCACCUGUUUCCUCUCUGGGAAGGCUGUAACUCUUUUUGAAUGAGAAGAUACGGGUGCCGCAAAUCACAAGAUAUGUUUUACUUGUUAUUUCGUCACCUGCUGUAGUAAAGUGCCAUUUCCCAGUCUAUUGGGGUGCGGUCAUGAAUGUAAGGUUUCAGCUUUGCCGACAUCUCUUUGUUACUUAAGGUCAAACAUUGAUUGCGUCAAUCAAGGAGUUAUAGUCUAGCGAGAGUUACUGCGAAUUGAACAAAUGCGCCGAGUGAAAAUAGCACCGUUAGCUUAAUCGGUUGGUAUCCCAAUAUUGAAUCUUUUUUCGAGAAAACUGCAGGGGAAAUUUGUCGUUUCUGAAAGCCUGUUAGAAGAUUAAAAAGAAUAAAACUUAAUUCCGGUGCAAUUAAAACUCAGAAGACUAUUUUUAAUUGGGAAAACAAGCAAUUUAAGAAAGAAAGGAUAACAUUUUACCUUAUUUUUUCAUUUAACUUGCCAUGGACUGGAGAAACCAGCUGACUUUGGAACUCUUUGUUUCGCUUUCAAAAAGCUCUUUAUUCAAAUAUUCAACACAUAUAACACGCAAAUUGAAAAGCAUAUUUUCAAAUCCCAGGCCCAAGCAGUGCUUUUGCUUAUGAAGUUUGCAUAUGCACUGAGCGCACAAAUAAUAAAACAGAGUAUUUAAUUUAGCCUGACGUACUUAACAUGUGGGUUACAAAAUUCCUUGCUCUUUCAGUCUCUCUGUCUCUCUUUCGACUUGUUUUCAUUAAGAAUAAUCAUGUUUUAAUUUUACUAUGUAUAACAUUGGUACCUGUGCAACCUGCGGUAAAUAGCAUAUAACGAAACGCAUACACACGGUAUACUGAUGAUUAUA
RNAcentral lists this long non-coding RNA (4511 nucleotides) under Daphnia pulicaria. RNAcentral describes it as "uncharacterized LOC124344515, transcript variant X1". Lineage: Eukaryota; Metazoa; Arthropoda; Branchiopoda; Diplostraca; Daphniidae. The record is from RNAcentral.